AUUGAACGCUGGCGGCAGGCCUAACACAUGCAAGUCGAACGGUAACAGGAAGCAGCUUGCUGCUUUGCUGACGAGUGGCGGACGGGUGAGUAAUGUCUGGGAAACUGCCCGAUGGAGGGGGAUAACUACUGGAAACGGUAGCUAAUACCGCAUAACGUCGCAAGACCAAUGAGGGGGACCUUAGGGCCUCUUGCCAUCGGAUGUGCCCAGAUGGGUUUAGCUAGUAGGUGGGGUAACUGCCCACCUAGGCGACGACCCCUAGCUGGUCUGAGAGGAUGACCAGCCACACUUGAACUCAGACACGGUCCUGACUCCUAAGGGAGGCAGGAGUGGGGAAUAUUGCACAAUGGGCGCUAGCCUGAUGCAGCCAUGCCGCGCGUAUGAAGAAGGUCUUCGGAUUUUUAAGUACUAUCAGCGGGGAGGAAGGGAGUAAAGUUAAUACCUGUGCUCAUUGACGUUACCCGCUGAUGAAGCCCCGGCUAACCCCGUG
This 490-nucleotide ribosomal RNA is filed under the name uncultured bacterium. Its description in RNAcentral is "partial 16S ribosomal RNA". It matches the Rfam family "Bacterial small subunit ribosomal RNA", at positions 30 to 507 of the family's 1533-position model. The record is from RNAcentral.